Molecule: ribosomal RNA, 497 nt
Filed under: uncultured bacterium
Lineage: Bacteria
Description: partial 16S ribosomal RNA
Rfam family: Bacterial small subunit ribosomal RNA
Source: RNAcentral
GAUGAACGCUGGCGGCGUGCCUAAUACAUGCAAGUCGAGCGAACAGAUGAGGAGCUUGCUCCUCUGACGUUAGCGGCGGACGGGUGAGUAACACGUGGAUAACCUACCUAUAAGACUGGGAUAACUUCGGGAAACCGGAGCUAAUACCGGAUAAUAUAUUGAACCGCAUGGUUCAAUAGUGAAAGACGGUUUUGCUGUCACUUAUAGAUGGAUCCGCGCCGCAUUAGCUAGUUGGUAAGGUAACGGCUUACCAAGGCAACGAUGCGUAGCCGACCUGAGAGGGUGAUCGGCCACACUGGAACUGAGACACGGUCCAGACUCCUACGGGAGGCAGCAGUAGGGAAUCUUCCGCAAUGGGCGAAAGCCUGACGGAGCAACGCCGCGUGAGUGAUGAAGGUCUUCGGAUCGUAAAACUCUGUUAUUAGGGAAGAACAAAUGUGUAAGUAACUAUGCACGUCUUGACGGUCCCUAAUCAGAAAGCCACGGCUAACUACGUG